GACGAACGCUGGCGGCGUGCUUAACACAUGCAAGUCGAGCGGUAAGGCCCCUUCGGGGGUACACGAGCGGCGAACGGGUGAGUAACACGUGGGUGACCUGCCCUCAGCUCUGGGAUAAGCCUGGGAAACUGGGUCUAAUACCGGAUAUGACUCCAUGACGCAUGUCGUGGGGUGGAAAGCCUUGUGCGGCUGGGGGAUGGGCCCGCGGCCUAUCAGCUUGUUGGUGGGGUGAUGGCCUACCAAGGCGACGACGGGUAGCCGGCCUGAGAGGGCGACCGGCCACACUGGGACUGAGACACGGCCCAGACUCCUACGGGAGGCAGCAGUGGGGAAUCUUGCGCAAUGGGCGAAAGCCUGACGCAGCGACGCCGCGUGAGGGAUGACGGCCUGG
This 391-nucleotide ribosomal RNA is filed under the name uncultured bacterium. Its description in RNAcentral is "bacterial SSU rRNA". It matches the Rfam family "Bacterial small subunit ribosomal RNA", at positions 28 to 419 of the family's 1533-position model. The record is from RNAcentral.